CGUGCACAGCUGGUUGCAUCAUAGAGAUGUGUUCCAUGGUCUCUUUUGGUGCUGUUUCUAAGAGACAGCAAGUGGAGAUUUCCUUGCUCAGCAGUACCACUGCAGUGGGGUCAAAAACAUCUUGGUUCUUAGUUUUACUUUCUUGGCUAAAUUACACGUACCCCACUGAGAGGGCAUUUUGCUGUCAGUUGCUAAAAAGAAACACAGAGAAGAGACUAAUGACAAACCAGCCUCGUCCAAAAGAAAAACAUGGUCUGAACUAAAAACAAUUAAAAAAAAUAUCUCAAUAUCCAGGAACAGUACUCACACGUCUCUGCAAGGCAUGUCCUAGGAUCCAUAAACAGUAAGUACAAACCUUUUAUUUUAACCUUUCUGUAACAUGAACGAAAUUGAUUAGUGAUGUCUGUGAAAGUUCACCAUGAUCAAAAGAUUUCCUAUAUUGCUAUUUUGAUGGUAAAGAAGGAUGGCAAAGAAAGAAAUGCAUUGAUACAUUCACAAAAGAUUUUCAUUCACAAGUGUUGCAAUAUAUUCUUUCAUUAUCCUCAGUAACUAGAAGAUUUAAACCUUAAUCCUUGCAAAUUCUGGUAAUUCAUGCCUUUGAUUUCACUUUCUCUUUGAUGCAACAGUGGCGGCAGCAGCACUCUCUUAUACUGGUAGGAUAAGACCGAAGUGUCAUGGAAAAUUUCAAUUCCAAACAGACAUAGAUGCCGAAAUUUCCAUUCCUUUUGCAAAUUAAUCUGUUGAUUCAGAGGAAGAGAAAGAGAAUGGUAGGAAAUGCUCUUCGAUUAAAGAUUUUAAUCAUGAAGUUUUGGGAAAAUAUAACCUGUUUACUUCCUGCAUCUCUUUGAUAUCUACUCCCUGUGAACCG
This 868-nucleotide long non-coding RNA is filed under the name Mustela putorius furo (domestic ferret). RNAcentral describes it as "lncRNA (ENSMPUG00000026561.1)". The record is from RNAcentral. Lineage: Eukaryota; Metazoa; Chordata; Mammalia; Carnivora; Mustelidae.